Molecule: long non-coding RNA, 548 nt
Filed under: Rattus norvegicus (Norway rat)
Lineage: Eukaryota; Metazoa; Chordata; Mammalia; Rodentia; Muridae
Description: long non-coding RNA NONRATT026763
Source: RNAcentral
GGAUGGACUGGACCUCACCUCAGCUGCUGCCAUGCUUAACAGGUGCUAAAAGCCUGGGCCUCACCUAACUUCUGUCUGUUUGACGGCAGCUGCUCCCCCCACCCCCCAUGGUUGUUGAGGGCUGGCGCUGUGUCCUUGCUUCCUCACAGGUAGCCCUGAAGUAGCUUUGAAAUGAAUGCUAAAAUACUUUGCCUCCCAAGUUUGCAAUGUUGAUUCUUUCAGGAAGCUCACAAGAUGGUGAGAGAGGCGAACGUCAAGCAGGCAACUGCAGAAAAGCAGCUGAAGGAAGCUCAAGGGAAAAUUGAUGUGCUUCAAGCCGAAGUGGCUGCGCUGAAGACACUCGUACUGUCCAGUUCUCCAACAUCGCCUACGCAGGAGCCUCUGGCGGCUGGAAAGACGCCCUUUAAAAGGGGGCACACACGGAACAAAAGUACAAGCAGUGCUAUGAGUGGCAGCCACCAGGACUUCAGUGCGAUCCAGCCAAUCGUAAAAGACUGCAGAGAGGCCGAUCUAUCGCUGUAUAAUGAGUUCAGGUCUUGGAAGGAUGA